UUCGUUGAUACAAAUGGGUGUCUCUACCUUUCCCUAACGUGCCAAUUGUCAACAUAUGAGCCUCAGCUUCCCAAAUCUUUUCUUCUACGGAAACCAUGGGGAUAUACUUCUUAAAUUUCGUGUCCAUCCGCAUUGCUAUAGCGGGAGAGAAUACAAGUAUGAUCGAUAGGGCUCUGGGGUAUUUCUAACAUGUCUUUCUGCCGGUUCUUGGUAUCUCAUCCUAUUCGGGCUGAUUUCGUCUGGUUCUACGUGGUUCAACACUCGUCGAGGAAAUUCGAGCCAUCCCUUCCAUAAACACACCUAGAUGCAUAAAAAAGGGAGAAAGAACAAACACUGGA
RNAcentral lists this small RNA (338 nucleotides) under Histoplasma capsulatum var. duboisii H88. RNAcentral describes it as "Histoplasma capsulatum H88 hypothetical RNA". The record is from RNAcentral. Lineage: Eukaryota; Fungi; Ascomycota; Eurotiomycetes; Onygenales; Ajellomycetaceae.